Molecule: ribosomal RNA, 566 nt
Filed under: Pediococcus pentosaceus
Lineage: Bacteria; Bacillati; Bacillota; Bacilli; Lactobacillales; Lactobacillaceae
Description: bacterial SSU rRNA
Rfam family: Bacterial small subunit ribosomal RNA
Source: RNAcentral
GAUUAUGACGUACUUGUACUGAUUGAGAUUUUAACACGAAGUGAGUGGCGAACGGGUGAGUAACACGUGGGUAACCUGCCCAGAAGUAGGGGAUAACACCUGGAAACAGAUGCUAAUACCGUAUAACAGAGAAAACCGCAUGGUUUUCUUUUAAAAGAUGGCUCUGCUAUCACUUCUGGAUGGACCCGCGGCGUAUUAGCUAGUUGGUGAGGUAAAGGCUCACCAAGGCAGUGAUACGUAGCCGACCUGAGAGGGUAAUCGGCCACAUUGGGACUGAGACACGGCCCAGACUCCUACGGGAGGCAGCAGUAGGGAAUCUUCCACAAUGGACGCAAGUCUGAUGGAGCAACGCCGCGUGAGUGAAGAAGGGUUUCGGCUCGUAAAGCUCUGUUGUUAAAGAAGAACGUGGGUAAGAGUAACUGUUUACCCAGUGACGGUAUUUAACCAGAAAGCCACGGCUAACUACGUGCCAGCAGCCGCGGUAAUACGUAGGUGGCAAGCGUUAUCCGGAUUUAUUGGGCGUAAAGCGAGCGCAGGCGGUCUUUUAGUCUAAUGUGAAAGCCUUC